CCUACGGGAGGCAGCAGUGGGGAAUCUUGCGCAAUGGCCGCAAGGCUGACGCAGCGACGCCGCGUGUGGGAUGACGGCCUUCGGGUUGUAAACCACUGUCGGGAGGAACGCGGUACCUCCAAAGGAAGCACCGGCUAACUCCGUGCCAGCAGCCGCGGUAAUACGGAGGGUGCGAGCGUUGUCCGGAAUCACUGGGCGUAAAGGGCGCGUAGGUGGCCCGUUAAGUGGCUGGUGAAAUCCCGGGGCUCAACUCCGGGGCUGCCGGUCAGACUGGCGAGCUAGAGCACGGUAGGGGCAGAUGGAAUUCCCGGUGUAGCGGUGGAAUGCGUAGAUAUCGGGAAGAAUACCAGUGGCGAAGGCGUUCUGCUGGGCCGUGCUGACACUGAGGCGCGACAGCGUGGGGAGCAAACAGGAUUAGAUACCCUUGUAGUC
Molecule: ribosomal RNA, 432 nt
Filed under: uncultured bacterium
Lineage: Bacteria
Description: partial 16S ribosomal RNA
Rfam family: Bacterial small subunit ribosomal RNA
Source: RNAcentral